RNAcentral lists this ribosomal RNA (477 nucleotides) under uncultured bacterium. RNAcentral's name for it is "partial 16S ribosomal RNA". It matches the Rfam family "Bacterial small subunit ribosomal RNA", at positions 28 to 507 of the family's 1533-position model. The record is from RNAcentral.
GAUUAACGCUGGCGGCGUGCCUAACACAUGCAAGUCGAACGAUGACACAUUGUAGACUUGUUCGUAAAGACACUGAGCGGCUUAGUGGCGAACGAGUGAGUAACACGUGCUUAUCCUUCCUUACACAAGUGGAUAGCCUUAGGCUACGACGAAUAAUACCCUAUAAGACUAAACAGGCACAUUCUAUAAUGUUCAAUGUUGAAGCGGUGGAUGUUGGACUUGCGUCUGAUUAGCUAGAUGGUGCGGUAAAAGCUCACCAAGGAAACGAUCCGUAGCCGGCUUGAGAGCGGGUACGGCAACAUUGGGACUGAGACACGGCCGGAACAUCGACGGGAGGCAGCAAUGGGGAAUUUGGCACAAUGGGGGAAUCAAGGAGGCAGCGACGCCGCGAGAUUGUGAAGGCCUUCGGGUUGUAAAAAUCUUUUGUAUAGGAAGAAAAUGACAGUACUAAACGAAUAAGCACCGGCUAAUUACGUG